Molecule: ribosomal RNA, 495 nt
Filed under: uncultured bacterium
Lineage: Bacteria
Description: partial 16S ribosomal RNA
Rfam family: Bacterial small subunit ribosomal RNA
Source: RNAcentral
GACGAACGCUGGCGGCGUGCCUAAUACAUGCAAGUAGAACGCUGAAGGAGGAGCUUGCUUCUCUGGAUGAGUUGCGAACGGGUGAGUAACGCGUAGGUAACCUACCUGGUAGCGGGGGAUAACUAUUGGAAACGAUAGCUAAUACCGCAUAAGAGUAGAUGUUGCAUGACAUUUGCUUAAAAGGUGCAAUUGCAUCACUACCAGAUGGACCUGCGUUGUAUUAGCUAGUUGGUGGGGUAACGGCUUACCAAGGCGACGAUACAUAGCCGACCUGAGAGGGUGAUCGGCCACACUGGGACUGAGACACGGCCCAGACUCCUACGGGAGGCAGCAGUAGGGAAUCUUCGGCAAUGGACGGAAGUCUGACCGAGCAACGCCGCGUGAGUGAAGAAGGUUUUCGGAUCGUAAAGCUCUGUUGUAAGAGAAGAACGAGUGUGAGAGUGGAAAGUUCACACUGUGACGGUAUCUUACCAGAAAGGGACGGCUAACUACGUG